AAGGUAGGCAGUGCUUGCAAAGGCCUGAGCGCAAAGGCCACAUAAGGACAGUGAGAAGGCAGCCACCUGCAAGCCAGGAAGAAAGGUCUCACCAGAUACCAACCCUGCCAGCAUGUUGAUCUUGGACUUCCAGCCUCCAAAACUGUGAGAAGGCCUUCUGCUCACAUGGGCUUCCGUGCACCUGCUUCAGGAGACAGCAACACUUGCGCCCGCACCGCGGCAGGCUCCCAUCACCUGGUGGAUAUGCCGCGCCGAGUCUCAUCACACCUUAGUGAAGGAACACAUGGACCCAUAUGUUAGCGGAUGUAUUUACAUCGUUUUAUACAGAAAGGGGAAGAAAACUGCAUACCUCAGAAAGGGGUUGCUCCUCACUCUGAGUACUAGACUAAAGAUAAAAAGACUAGAUAAAAGUACUAGACUAAAGACAGAGCUGACCCAUGACAGUUUACGCACUGAGAGCAUCUAAAGAAUUUGAAUGAGGAGCAAAGCUUUUUCAAAGGUUGGAUUAAACUACAAUUGUCCUCUCCAAAGAAUGUUCAGCUAUCCUUUAUGUACUCUGUUGCAAGUAUUUCAAGAAGGAGGUGAGAAUAUAUGAGGUUCACGUAGCAGCAAAGGAACUACAUGGUAGAAGAGGGCACCUUUUUUCCAACAUCUCUUUAUGCUAAUGUUGUACAUCUGCAAGAUGCAAGAAGAGGACAAGAGCCUAUUUUUGUAGCAUUCUUGAGUCAAGAGCUUCCAUGAAAAGCUUUAAGUAGCAACAAGCCUGCCAUUGAAAAAGAAAUAUUUGGUUUGGAAUUUGAGAUUGUUAAAAAUCAUUAUAGAAUGCAUGUUCUACUGUGAAAUAAACUGAUAAAUGAAUAGUAUGUUGGGGCAGCCCCUGAAAGGUCAUUUACACUACCUAGAUGCUUUAUAGUUAAGGAAAGUAGGUCCAGAGAGGGGAAAUGAUCUGACCAUGGUUUCAAAGUUAUUUAGUAAGAAAUAGAAUGAGGAGUAG
Long non-coding RNA from Homo sapiens (human), 994 nucleotides. Ensembl annotates it as long intergenic non-protein coding RNA 1748. Lineage: Eukaryota; Metazoa; Chordata; Mammalia; Primates; Hominidae. The record is from Ensembl.